GGUGAAUGCUGGCGGCGUGGAUAAGUCAUGCAAGUCAAGGGGGCCCGCAAGGGCAACCGGCAAACGAGGUAGUAACACGUAGGUAGACCCCCCAGAGUCGGGCAUAGCCAGCCGAAAGGUUGGGUAAUUCCCGAUAGUCCCGAAAGGGUAAAGGUUUUUCGCUCUGGGAGUUGCCUGCGUAGUAUCAGCUAGUUGGUAGGGUAAUGGCCUACCAAGGCUACGACGCUUAGGGGAGCUGAGAGGCUGACCUCCACCGAUGGAACUGCGACACGGUCCAUACUCCUACGGGAGGCUGCAGACGAGAAUAUUCCGCAAUGGGCGAAAGCCUGACGGAGCGACGCCGCGUGAUUGAUGAAGUGCUUCGGUACGUAAAGAUCUUUUAUCGGGGGACGAAGUUUAUUGACGGUACCCGAUGAAUAAGGGGCUCCUAACUCUGUGCCAGCAGCGCGGUAAU
RNAcentral lists this ribosomal RNA (454 nucleotides) under uncultured bacterium. Its description in RNAcentral is "bacterial SSU rRNA". It matches the Rfam family "Bacterial small subunit ribosomal RNA", at positions 28 to 524 of the family's 1533-position model. The record is from RNAcentral.